This 253-nucleotide ribosomal RNA is filed under the name uncultured bacterium. RNAcentral describes it as "partial 16S ribosomal RNA". It matches the Rfam family "Bacterial small subunit ribosomal RNA", at positions 524 to 776 of the family's 1533-position model. The record is from RNAcentral.
UACGUAGGGUGCGAGCGUUAAUCGGAAUUACUGGGCGUAAAGCGUGCGCAGGCGGUUCGUCGUGUCCGAUGUUAAAGCCCCGGGCUCAACCUGGGAAUGGCAUUGGAAACUGGCGGGCUUGAGCGUGGCAGAGGGGGGUGGAAUUCCGCGUGUAGCAGUGAAAUGCGUAGAGAUGUGGAGGAACACCGAUGGCGAAGGCAGCCUUCUGGGCCAACACUGACGCUCAUGCACGAAAGCGUGGGGAGCAAACAGG